UAACACGUCACAGCACGUACUAACACAUCACAGCACGUUCUAACACGCCUGGAGUUUGAACUACCAAACUGGCAACGCCACAAAUUCAAAACAAUUCUUUAUAUCAGAUGAUUGUAUGAUAUAUAUAGUAAUUAGAGAUCCCAUACAAUGCACAAUUAAAAAGAACGUUAAAUUCAUCUUAUAAAGACACAGUGGGCAAGAGUUUAGAGGCUAAUAUAGGCAGACCAAUAGUGUAAUAUGGAUGGGAGAGGCAACUGCUCCUAGUAGUGGAGCCAGUUAUAGUUUUAUUGUUUACAUUAUUCUUGCACUCAUAAACGUUGUACUAUCGUUAGAACAUGUCUUAAGGCAUAGUUUCAUUAUUUUGUUAUUAUUCUGUGACUUAAGCAGAAAGUAUAUAUGAAUUUAAUAAGAUAUAUUGAGGUAAAUUGUUUGUGUGCGCAGUGUUGGAAGUGCAGCAGAGGAGCCAGCUCCAACACUCACAUCACCACCACCAUCAUUAUCAACACUCACCACCUCCACCACUAAACCUCAUCUUCAGCUGUUAAAGAGUACUACCACUGUUAAGUGAGCUGAGGAUACUUACCAACAUGGGCACCUACGCUCACUCCUUCCGUG
Molecule: long non-coding RNA, 615 nt
Organism: Cherax quadricarinatus
Lineage: Eukaryota; Metazoa; Arthropoda; Malacostraca; Decapoda; Parastacidae
Source: RefSeq, a predicted model, not a curated record